GGGCACAUGGUGUAGUUGGUUAUCACGCUCGCUUAGCAUUGUACAUGCUGUUAUGGGUCUGCGAGAGGUGUUGGGUUCAAUUCCCAAUGUGUCCA
Molecule: non-coding RNA, 95 nt
Organism: Flammula alnicola
Lineage: Eukaryota; Fungi; Basidiomycota; Agaricomycetes; Agaricales; Strophariaceae
Source: the annotation of a GenBank genome assembly